RNAcentral lists this ribosomal RNA (319 nucleotides) under uncultured eukaryote. RNAcentral's name for it is "partial 18S ribosomal RNA". It matches the Rfam family "Eukaryotic small subunit ribosomal RNA", at positions 1470 to 1796 of the family's 1831-position model. The record is from RNAcentral.
CCCUUAGAUGUCCUGGGCCGCACGCGUGCUACACUGACACUUACACCGAGUUUUUCCGGCCCCGAGAGGUGGCUGGUAAUCAGUAAUAGGUGUCGUGAUGGGGAUAGAUCUUUGGAAUUAUUGAUCUUGAACGAGGAAUGCCUAGUAAUCGUAGGUCAUCAGCCUGCGAUGAUUACGUCCCUGCCCUUUGUACACACCGCCCGUCGCACCUACCGAUUGAAUGGUCCGGUGAAAUCUCGGGACGGCGGCUUGGUCGCUUGCGUCCGACUGCUGAAACUUGAUUAAACCAUAUCAUUUAGAGGAAGGUGAANUCGUAACA